RNAcentral lists this ribosomal RNA (410 nucleotides) under uncultured bacterium. RNAcentral's name for it is "bacterial SSU rRNA". It matches the Rfam family "Bacterial small subunit ribosomal RNA", at positions 505 to 916 of the family's 1533-position model. The record is from RNAcentral.
GUGUCAGCAGCCGCGGUAAAACGUAGGGGGCGAGCGUUGUCCGGAAUUACUGGGCGUAAAGGGCACGCAGGCGGUACGCCAAGUCGGGGGUGUAAAGUUACGGCUCAACCGUGACCUUGCAAUCGAUACUGGCGUACUGGAGUGCGGGAGAGGGAAGUGGAAUUCCCGGUGUAGCGGUGAAAUGCGUAGAUAUCGGGAGGAACGCCAGUGGCGAAGGCGGCUUCCUGGCCCGCGACUGACGCUCAUGCACGAAAGCGUGGGGAGCAAACAGGAUUAGAUACCCGGGUAGUCCUGGCCGUAAACGAUGGGUGCUAGGUGUAGGCGCGUCAAGCGUCUGUGCCGCAGUUAACGCGAUAAGCACCUCGCCUGGGGAGUACGGCCGCAAGGUUGAAACUUAAAUGAAUUGACGG